RNAcentral lists this ribosomal RNA (253 nucleotides) under uncultured bacterium. Its description in RNAcentral is "partial 16S ribosomal RNA". It matches the Rfam family "Bacterial small subunit ribosomal RNA", at positions 524 to 776 of the family's 1533-position model. The record is from RNAcentral.
UACGAGUGCCCCAAGCGUUAUCCGGAAUCAUUGGGCGUAAAGGGUGUGUAGGUGGUUGUGCUAGUCUUCCGUCAAAACCCAGGGCUUAACCUUGGAUCUGCGAAAGAAACGACACAACUAGAGGAUGCGAGGGGUGAAUGGAACUCAUGGAGUAGGGGUGAAAUCCGUUGAUAUCAUGGGGAACACCAAAAGCGAAGGCAGUUCACUGGCGCAUUCCUGACACUGAAACACGAAAGCGUGGGUAGCGAAUGGG